This is an RNA transcript of Mastomys coucha (southern multimammate mouse), 720 nucleotides long. It is a transcript of the gene named short transient receptor potential channel 4-associated protein pseudogene, with no coding region annotated. NCBI's taxonomy places the organism in Eukaryota, Metazoa, Chordata, Mammalia, Rodentia, Muridae. The record is from RefSeq and is a predicted model, not a curated record. The transcript is spliced from 2 exons.
AUGUUGGAGUGUGAGAGUCUGAGGGAGUAUCAGGAAGGAAUUUCCCCUACACAGAACCCCACAAACACUGCGGACAAGGAAAAAGAAGAACACCAGUGGGAGCUGGGAGAGCUGAUGAAGUUUAACGUUGAUGCUUUCAAGAGAUUCAAUAAAUACAUCAACACUGAUGCAAAGUUCCAGGUGUUCCUGAAACAGAUCAACAUGCUGGUGUGCUGUGUCACUCUGUCUCUGGACCAAUUUGAAAACCAGGUGGACAUGAAAGUGGCCGAGGUCCUGUCCGAGUGCUGCCUGCUUGCCUACAUAUCCCAGGUGCCCACGCAGAUGUCGUUCCUCUUCUGCCUCAUCAAUAUCAUCCAUGUACAGACACUAACCCAGGAGAACGUCAGCUGCCUCAACACCAGCAUGGUAACUCUGAUGCUGGCCAGACGGAAAGACUGGCUGCCCCUGUACCUGUGGAUGCUACAGCGAAUGGAGCACAGCAAGAAAUACCCCGGCUUCCUGCUCAACAACUUCCACAACCUGCUGCGCUCUUGGCAGCAGCAUUACCGGCACAAGGACAAGUACAGCACCUGCCUGGAGAAUAGCUCCCGCAUCAGCCUCUCAUACUGGAAGGAGACAGUGUCCAUCUUGUUGAACCCGGACCACCAGUUGCCCUUGACCAUGGUCAGCUACAUUGAGGAGCCCUACAUGGACAUAGACAGAGACUUCACUGAGGAGUGA